CAAUUGUACAACUUUUAGAACAUUUAAUAGAAACUCAGACUCAUGUAGCUGGGACAGAGAUCGUCUGCGUCAGUUCUCUGCUUUACUCCUUUAAAGAGAGAGAGAGAGAGAGUGAGCUGUACCUGCCUCCCUGAGUCAAG
This 140-nucleotide long non-coding RNA is filed under the name Bos indicus x Bos taurus (hybrid cattle). RNAcentral describes it as "lncRNA (ENSBIXG00000021565.1)". The record is from RNAcentral. Lineage: Eukaryota; Metazoa; Chordata; Mammalia; Artiodactyla; Bovidae.